AACCGUGUGCGGUGGAUCACUUGGCUCGUGCGUCGAUGAAGAGUACAGCCAACUGUGUGAAUUAAUGUGAAUCGCAGACUGCUACGAACAUCGACAUUUCGAACGCAUCUAGA
Molecule: ribosomal RNA, 113 nt
Filed under: Echinococcus canadensis
Lineage: Eukaryota; Metazoa; Platyhelminthes; Cestoda; Cyclophyllidea; Taeniidae
Description: partial 5.8S ribosomal RNA
Rfam family: 5.8S ribosomal RNA
About the family: 5.8S ribosomal RNA (5.8S rRNA) is a component of the large subunit of the eukaryotic ribosome. It is transcribed by RNA polymerase I as part of the 45S precursor that also contains 18S and 28S rRNA. Functionally, it is thought that 5.8S rRNA may be involved in ribosome translocation.
Source: RNAcentral